AUUGAACGCUGGCGGCAGGCUUAACACAUGCAAGUCGAACGAGUGGCGGACGGGUGAGUAAUGGAUGGGAAUCUGGCUUAUGGAGGGGGAUAACGACGAGAAACUGUCGCUAAUACCGCGUAGCAUAGGAUGAGCCCAAGUGGGAUUAGGUAGUUGGUGGGGUAAUGGCCUACCAAGCCGACGAUGUCUAGCUGGUCUGAGAGGAUGACCAGCCACACCGGGACUGAGACACGGCCCGGACUCCUACGGGAGGCAGCAGUGGGGAAUAUGGCGCAAUGGGGGCAGCCUGACGCAGCCAUGCCGCGUGAAUGAAGAAGGUCUUCGGGUUGUAAAGUUCUUUCGGGGAAGAGGCGUUAAUCACAGAAGAAGCACCGGCUAACUCCGUGCCAGCCGCCGCGGUAAUAC
RNAcentral lists this ribosomal RNA (405 nucleotides) under uncultured bacterium. RNAcentral's name for it is "partial 16S ribosomal RNA". It matches the Rfam family "Bacterial small subunit ribosomal RNA", at positions 29 to 526 of the family's 1533-position model. The record is from RNAcentral.